This 83-nucleotide transfer RNA is filed under the name Spirochaetes bacterium GWE1_32_154. Its description in RNAcentral is "tRNA-Tyr". It matches the Rfam family "tRNA". Rfam says of the family: Transfer RNA (tRNA) molecules are approximately 80 nucleotides in length. The record is from RNAcentral. Lineage: Bacteria; Pseudomonadati; Spirochaetota. RNAcentral also lists the same sequence under 4 other names.
GGGGAGAUGGCCGAGUGGUUAAAGGCGACAGACUGUAAAUCUGUUAACGUACGUUUACGGGGGUUCGAAACCCUCUCUCCCCA